AGUUUGAUCCUGGCUCAGAGUGAACGCUGGCGGCAGGCCUAAUACAUGCAAGUCGAACGGCAGCACAGCAGAGCUUGCUCUGUGGGUGGCGAGUGGCGGACGGGUGAGGAAUACAUGGGAAUCUGCCCAGUCGUGGGGGAUAACGUAGGGAAACUUACGCUAAUACCGCAUGCGCCCUUCGGGGGAAAGCCGGGGACCUUCGGGCCUGGCGCGAUUGGAUGAGCCCAUGUCGGAUUAGCUAGUUGGCGGGGUAACGGCCCACCAAGGCGACGAUCCGUAGCUGGUCUGAGAGGAUGAUCAGCCACACUGGAACUGAGACACGGUCCAGACUCCUACGGGAGGCAGCAGUAGGGAAUAUUGGACAAUGGGCGCAAGCCUGAUCCAGCCAUGCCGCGUGAGUGAAGAAGGCCUUCGGGUUGUAAAGCUCUUUUGUCCGGAAAGAAAAGCUUCGGGUUAAUACCCUGGAGUCCUGACGGUACCGGAAGAAUAAGCACCGGCUAACUUCGUGCCAGCAGCCGCGGUAAUACGAAGGGUGCAAGCGUUACUCGGAAUUACUGGGCGUAAAGCGUGCGUAGGUGGUUUGUUAAGUCUGAUGUGAAAGCCCUGNGCUCAACCUGGGAAUGGCAUUGGAUACUGGCAGGCUAGAGUGCGGUAG
RNAcentral lists this ribosomal RNA (655 nucleotides) under uncultured bacterium. Its description in RNAcentral is "bacterial SSU rRNA". It matches the Rfam family "Bacterial small subunit ribosomal RNA", at positions 10 to 654 of the family's 1533-position model. The record is from RNAcentral.